UACGGAGGGGGCUAGCGUUGUCCGGAUUUACUGGGCGUAAAGAGCGCGUAGGCGGCUCGUUAAGUGAGAAGUGAAAGCUCUGGGCUCAACCCAGAAACCGCUUUUCAUACUGGCAAGCUGGAGUGAUGCAGAGGUGGAUAGAAUUCCCGGUGUAGCGGUGAAAUGCGUUGAUAUCGGGAGGAAUACCCGUGGCGAAGGCGGUCCACUGGGCAUCAACUGACGCUGAGGCGCGAAAGCGUGGGUAGCAAACAGG
This 253-nucleotide ribosomal RNA is filed under the name uncultured bacterium. RNAcentral's name for it is "partial 16S ribosomal RNA". It matches the Rfam family "Bacterial small subunit ribosomal RNA", at positions 524 to 776 of the family's 1533-position model. The record is from RNAcentral.